UUGGAGGGCAAGUCUGGUGCCAGCAGCCGCGGUAAUUCCAGCUCCAAUAGCGUAUAUUAAAGUUGUUGCAGUUAAAAAGCUCGUAGUUGAAUUUCGGGGUUCUACCGUUGGUCGGGCUUUGUCUGUACUGGUGUGUAGAAUUUCUACCUUCUGGGGAACCAUCAUGCUAUUAAUUUAGCGUGGUGGGAAACCAGGACCUUUACCUUGAAAAAAUUAGUGUGUUCAAAGCAGGCUUAUGUCUGAAUACAUUAGCGUGGAAUAAUAGAAUAGGACGGCGGUCCUGUUUUGUUGGUUUCUGAAUCACCGUAAUGAUUAAUAGGGAUAGUUGGGGGCAUUAGUAUUCAAUUGUCAGAGGUGAAAUUCUUGGAUUUAUUGAAGACUAACUUCUGCGAAAGCAUUUGCCAAGGAUGUUUUCAUUAAUCAAGAACGAAAGUUAGGGGAUCGAAGACGAUCAGAUACCGUCGUAGUCUUAACCAUAAACUAUGCCGACUAGGGAUCGGACGAUGUUAAUUUUUCUUGACUCGUUCGGCGCCUUACGGGAAAC
RNAcentral lists this ribosomal RNA (544 nucleotides) under uncultured Glomeromycotina. RNAcentral describes it as "SSU rRNA". It matches the Rfam family "Eukaryotic small subunit ribosomal RNA", at positions 548 to 1098 of the family's 1831-position model. Lineage: Eukaryota; Fungi; Glomeromycota. The record is from RNAcentral.